Molecule: ribosomal RNA, 464 nt
Filed under: uncultured bacterium
Lineage: Bacteria
Description: bacterial SSU rRNA
Rfam family: Bacterial small subunit ribosomal RNA
Source: RNAcentral
CAGGCCUAACACAUGCAAGUCGAACGGUAACAGGUCUUCGGAUGCUGACGAGUGGCGAACGGGUGAGUAAUACAUCGGAACGUGCCCAAUCGUGGGGGAUAACACAUCGAAAGAUGUGCUAAUACCGCAUAAGAUCUACGGAUGAAAGCGGGGGAUCGCAAGACCUCGCGCGAAUGGAGCGGCCGAUGGCAGAUUAGGUAGUUGGUGGGGUAAAGGCCUACCAAGCCGACGAUCUGUAGCUGGUCUGAGAGGACGACCAGCCACACUGGGACUGAGACACGGCCCAGACUCCUACGGGAGGCAGCAGUGGGGAAUUUUGGACAAUGGGCGCAAGCCUGAUCCAGCAAUGCCGCGUGCAGGAUGAAGGCCUUCGGGUUGUAAACUGCUUUUGUACGGAGCGAAAAGGUUUUCUCUAAUACAGAAGGCCCAUGACGGUACCGUAAGAAUAAGCACCGGCUAUUCUG